UUUAUUAUAACGUUAGUUGUAUUCUGAUGUUUUCAUUCUCUCUUUUAUUAUCAGUAAAACAAAUAAAGCAGGUUUCAUGGUCUCAACAAGAAACGUCAAAGUUUGUUUAGAAAUUAUUCUUUAAUUAAUGAGCGUUUCAUCAAUGUUAAAUAAGUUUGUUUCUACGAGCUUAUCUUGUCUUAUAAGUUUAUCUUCAGAAAUAAUCAUUAUCACGUCUUAGCUCAAAUCUUCUGAAAGAGAGGG
This is a non-coding RNA of Biomphalaria pfeifferi, 243 nucleotides long. The record is from the annotation of a GenBank genome assembly. Lineage: Eukaryota; Metazoa; Mollusca; Gastropoda; Planorbidae.